RNAcentral lists this ribosomal RNA (253 nucleotides) under uncultured bacterium. Its description in RNAcentral is "partial 16S ribosomal RNA". It matches the Rfam family "Bacterial small subunit ribosomal RNA", at positions 524 to 776 of the family's 1533-position model. The record is from RNAcentral.
UACAGAGGUCUCAAGCGUUGUUCGGAUUCAUUGGGCGUAAAGGGUGUGUAGGUGGCGCGCUAAGUCGGGUGUGAAAUUUCGGAGCUUAACUCCGAAACUGCAUUCGAUACUGGCGUGCUUGAGGACUGGAGAGGAGACUGGAAUUCAUGGUGUAGCAGUGAAAUGCGUAGAGAUCAUGAGGAAGACCAGUGGCGAAGGCGGGUCUCUGGGCAGUAACUGACGCUGAGAAGCGAAAGCGUGGGGAGCGAACAGG